UGGGGAAUAUUGGACAAUGGGCGAAAGCCUGAUCCAGCCAUGCCGCGUGUGUGAAGAAGGUCUUCGGAUUGUAAAGCACUUUAAGUUGGGAGGAAGGGUUGUAGAUUAAUACUCUGCAAUUUUGACGUUACCGACAGAAUAAGCACCGGCUAACUCUGUGCCAGCAGCCGCGGUAAUACAGAGGGUGCAAGCGUUAAUCGGAAUUACUGGGCGUAAAGCGCGCGUAGGUGGUUUGUUAAGUUGGAUGUGAAAUCCCCGGGCUCAACCUGGGAACUGCAUCCAAAACUGGCAAGCUAGAGUAUGGUAGAGGGUGGUGGAAUUUCCUGUGUAGCGGUGAAAUGCGUAGAUAUAGGAAGGAACACCAGUGGAGAAGGCGACCACCUGGACUGAUACUGACACUGAGGUGCGAAAGCGUGGGGAGCAAACAGGAUUAGAUACCCCCGUAGUCCCUGAGCGGGCUGGCAAGGCGCAU
This 472-nucleotide ribosomal RNA is filed under the name uncultured bacterium. RNAcentral describes it as "bacterial SSU rRNA". It matches the Rfam family "Bacterial small subunit ribosomal RNA", at positions 355 to 825 of the family's 1533-position model. The record is from RNAcentral.